Molecule: long non-coding RNA, 294 nt
Organism: Salvelinus sp. IW2-2015
Lineage: Eukaryota; Metazoa; Chordata; Actinopteri; Salmoniformes; Salmonidae
Source: RefSeq, a predicted model, not a curated record
GAAGCAUCCCAACCUGUAUUGUCAUAUAUAGGGGCCCUGAGGCCCGGGGGAACAGUAUUCUAGACGGACCACCACAMAGAGAGGAGAGAGAUGAAGCUACUAAAUAUCCUGUGCUUCUGCCUGGCUGUCCUCGCCUCCACUUGGGCUGAGGACGUAAGUCACCGUAUUGAGGCCCGUCGUGAACCGGCCAGUAGAACAUGGCUACAAGGCUGAUAAAUGUGCCACAGAGAGGAGCUGGCCUUUCUGCUCAGAUGACGACUGGGUACGUUUUCACUCUUAGGAAACCUUGGAAAU